Molecule: ribosomal RNA, 253 nt
Filed under: uncultured bacterium
Lineage: Bacteria
Description: partial 16S ribosomal RNA
Rfam family: Bacterial small subunit ribosomal RNA
Source: RNAcentral
UACGAAGGGGGCUAGCGUUGCUCGGAAUCACUGGGCGUAAAGCGCACGUAGGCGGGUCUUUAAGUCAGGGGUGAAAUCCUGGAGCUCAACUCCAGAACUGCCUUUGAUACUGAGGAUCUCGAGUCCGGGAGAGGUGAGUGGAACUCCGAGUGUAGAGGUGAAAUUCGUAGAUAUUAGGAAGAACACCAGUGGCGAAGGCGGCUCACUGGCCCGGUACUGACGCUGAGGCGCGAAAGCGUGGGGAGCAAACAGG